GAUGAACGCUGGCGGCGUGCCUAAUACAUGCAAGUCGAGCGAACAGACGAGGAGCUUGCUCCUCUGACGUUAGCGGCGGACGGGUGAGUAACACGUGGAUAACCUACCUAUAAGACUGGGAUAACUUCGGGAAACCGGAGCUAAUACCGGAUAAUAUAUUGAACCGCAUGGUUCAAUAGUGAAAGACGGUUUUGCUGUCACUUAUAGAUGGAUCCGCGCCGCAUUAGCUAGUUGGUAAGGUAACGGCUUACCAAGGCAACGAUGCGUAGCCGACCUGAGAGGAUGAGCGGCCACACUGGAACUGAGACACGGUCCAGACUCCUACGAGAGGCAGCAGUAGGGAAUCUUCCGCAAUGGGCGAAAGCCUAACGGAGCAACGCCACGUGAGUGAUGAAGGUCUUCGGAUCGUAAAACUCUGUUAUUAGGGAAGAACAAAUGUGUAAGUAACUAUGCACGUCUUGACGGUACCUAAUCAGAAAGCCACGGCUAACUACGUG
RNAcentral lists this ribosomal RNA (497 nucleotides) under uncultured bacterium. Its description in RNAcentral is "partial 16S ribosomal RNA". It matches the Rfam family "Bacterial small subunit ribosomal RNA", at positions 28 to 507 of the family's 1533-position model. The record is from RNAcentral.